Non-coding RNA from Coffea arabica (coffee), 2650 nucleotides. The record is from RefSeq and is a predicted model, not a curated record. Lineage: Eukaryota; Viridiplantae; Streptophyta; Magnoliopsida; Gentianales; Rubiaceae.
CCACCAAUCCGAUUUGGGCCCGAUUGCCAUCCCUAAGUGCAGCCCAUAUCCUAAAUCUGCGGGCAAAAAUGCGUCAUUUGUCGGCGAUGACGUCAGAAUAAGCCGGUGACUGAGGGGGAUUAUGUUAGCUUAUGCUAUGAGCAGUAGUACUAGGUUGGGACGUAUAUCAACAAUCCUAAGGAUGGAGACUACUGAGACGAACCCGCGCAAAGACUAUUUUCAGUAUGCCCACAAUGAUUCCUGCAAAUUCUCCCGCUGGACUGCUAAGGAAUGUUACCAGUAUAUGUCUGCUAGGCCGUGGCAAAAAGUGAAUGAUUUUUAUGCAGAAAUGGUGCAGGGACGCGUAUCAUUGUCAGAUUUGUUCAGAAAAGAGUUGCUGCAGACAUGUGCUGUGCAUGAUGAUACUGAAAUCAUAGAGGAUAUCCAUGAAAAUGACAUUGAUAGUGCUCCAGCAAAAGAUAGGACUGGGAGGUGGGCAAGAGUAACUUUCAAGGUACUCCUUUCAUACCACGGGGGUUCGUUUCAAGGCUGGCAGAAGCAACCUGGUUUGAAUACUGUACAAGGUAUAGUUGAAAGAUCUCUUGGAAAGUUUGUCGACGAGAAGAAAACUCAGCUGCUAAAUGAAAAGAACUUACCAAUUGAAGGCUGUGUUGUAGUAGCUGGGCGCACUGACAAGGGAGUUACAGCAUUUCAACAAGUUUGUUCUUUCUAUACUUGGCGAAAGGAUGUGAAACCUCAAGACAUUAAAAGCACCAUUAAUGAUGCAGCACCAGGGAAGAUCAAUGCUAUUUCUGUUACUGAGGUAUCACGUGAAUUUCAUCCAAAUUUCUCGGCCAAAUGGAGGCGCUACUUGUAUGUCUUUCCCUUCAAUGAUGGAAAAGAAGCUGAGCUCAGCAGUCAGGUUGAGAAGGAUUUGAAUGAACAUGAUUAUACCUUUACAUUAGAUAAUGGACUUCAUGAUUACAAGGAUCAAAUCGAAGCUGGAAAUAAGCCUACAAGGUUUGAAGUCAGCAAGGUUAACCAACUCUUAAGUCAAUUAGAAGGUAAGUUGCUGUCCUACAAGAUGUUUGCGCGAGACACUAAAGCCUCAAGGAACGUCUUGGAGCUCACUGCCAACACAGAAGUCCUAAGUGGCAGUUCGUUAAUAAGAGAUGCUGAGAUUGGCUGAUCCCCUUGCAGAGCUAUGUUGGUUAUUGCUGGCUUCAUUUUUGCAACUUUAACGAUAUUCACAUACUCACAUAGAAGAUACUGGGUAUCAGUAUAACUUGUUCAAUUUUGGUUUUGGGCAAGCAGUGAGCUGUAAUUCUGAAUAGUCUUCCUGGGAGAUGCAUCUGUUGGUUCUUAAAAGGCCUAUAUUUUGGCUAGUUUAGGAUGCAACAUCAUCUUACAUCCUCAUCCCCAACCCUCUCCCCCCCCCCCACCACAACCCAAAAAAACAAACAAAACAAAGAACCCCCAAAGAAAAGGAAAAUAAGUAUAUGCCGAAAGUUACAAUUGAUCAUCUCUCUUGUGUCAUUUUGUCCCCAUCAACUCCUUAUAGAUCCAAAAAUUUCCCAUUGGUUUGGUGCAAUUAUUUGUUUUUUAGAUAGACUGUUUGAAUCCCUGUCCCUAAUUUUCAAUUGCUGACACAUAAUUCUUUUGAAAAUUGUGUGUUCAUAAUCAUAUUCUUUUUACAUUUGAAGAACUACAUCUACAAAUGUGUUUGUGGGUUCAAAUUUUGAUUUGCAUGAUUGUGAAAAUAACAUUUUCGAUUUGACAGGCCUCAUAAGGUUCAUAGUUUCUGGAUAUGAUGUGAUUCAAAUUAGAAGUUGCUACUACAGGGAUAUAGAAUGUCAUUUUUCACCCAACAAGUUGUAUGCCAUCUGCUUUUUCAUUCUUCUAUUCUUUUGUUGCUAGCUGUUAUCUAGGCAAUGUGAAGCCAGUAAACUUUGCUCUUUCUUUGUCAAUUUUUUUGGCUAAUUAGAUGUUUUGGUGGCUGUAGUAUAAGUGAUUAAGACCUAAGAUCUUUACUUGUACAUUUUUUAGAACUAAUAAAUUCCAGCUGAUGCUUGAUUUAGGUUGCUUUCAUUCUGAGCAUUGUUAGAUGGAAAAUUUACCCCCCCCCCCCUGAAAGCAUUUUAUCAUAGAGCUUUGGCUUGUGCUUAUCUUUAUGUAUAUACCCAUUUAUAUCAAACAGUAAUGUAUCACCUGCAUUCAAGUGGAUUUUGAUCUUUAGAGUAAACAAUAACAAUUCAAAUUUACUGUUACAGAGUUUCUCUCUACUAGGUUUUGAAUCAAGAUUCAAGGCAGUUAUGAAGUUUGUCCUUACUUUAUGUGGGGGAACUAGUUUUUAUGCAAUCUGACAUAUGGUGUAGCAGCUUCUUAAUCUCCCUUUGCCUGUCUUCUAUUGACAUUGCAGUGGUCCCCCAACUGAGUGUUUUGUCUUCCAUGCCCGAGCGACGGAAGCAAUCUUACCAUGUACACAGGCUGGAAGUGAAACGAAGAUCAUGUGCAUAGAGUUGGUUGCUAAUCGCUUCUUGCGCAAGAUGGUGCGAGUUCUUGUUGCUACAGCGGUGAGAGAGGCUGCCGCUGGUGCUGAAGAGGAUGCACUACUGAAACUGAUGGAUGCCACAUGCAGGCGAGCAACUGCUCCACCAUCGCCUCCAGAUGG